Molecule: ribosomal RNA, 607 nt
Filed under: uncultured marine eukaryote
Lineage: Eukaryota
Description: SSU rRNA
Rfam family: Eukaryotic small subunit ribosomal RNA
Source: RNAcentral
UUAAAAAGCUCGUAGUCGAAUUUUUAAGGGAAUCAAUUUUAUGUGGUCUUAAUGAACUGCAAAGGAAGAUGAUUUAUCUUAUUUUAUGCUUUUGCACCAUUGGAAUUCGUUUUCUGAUAGUGGAGUAAGUUUGUGUUUACUUUGAGAAAAUUAGAGUGUUCAAAGCAGUCUUACGGCUUUAUAUUAAAGCAUGGAAUGAUAAAUAAUGACAUCGGUAAAUUUUUGUUGGUUUGAGAGACUGAUGUAAUGAUUUAUAGAGUUAGUCGGAGGUAUUAGUAUUUUAUCGUUAGAAGUGAAAUUCUGGGAUCGACAAAAGACUAACAACUGCAAAAGCAUUUACCUAGAAUUUGCUCCUUGAUCAAGAACGUAAGUUGGGGGAUCGAAGACGAUCAGAUACCGUCGUAGUCUCAACUUUAAACUAUAUCAGCUAGGGGUUGGCAAAUGUUUAUAUGACUUUGUUAGAACCUUAAGAGAAAUCAAAGCGUUUGGGUUCCGGGGGGAGUAUGGUCGCAAGGCUGAAACUUAAAGGAAUUGACGGAAGGGCACCACAAGAUGUGGAUCCUGUGGCUUAAUUUGACUCAACACUGGGAAACUCACCAGGUCAGAC